This 77-nucleotide transfer RNA is filed under the name Pseudomonas entomophila. RNAcentral's name for it is "tRNA-Arg". It matches the Rfam family "tRNA". From Rfam's summary of the family: Transfer RNA (tRNA) molecules are approximately 80 nucleotides in length. Their secondary structure includes four short double-helical elements and three loops (D, anti-codon, and T loops). Further hydrogen bonds mediate the characteristic L-shaped molecular structure. tRNAs have two regions of fundamental functional importance: the anti-codon, which is responsible for specific mRNA codon recognition, and the 3' end, to which the tRNAs corresponding amino acid is attached (by aminoacyl-tRNA synthetases). tRNAs cope with the degeneracy of the genetic code in two manners: having more than one tRNA (with a specific anti-codon) for a particular amino acid; and 'wobble' base-pairing, i.e. permitting non-standard base-pairing at the 3rd anti-codon position. RNAcentral also lists the same sequence under 3 other names. The record is from RNAcentral. Lineage: Bacteria; Pseudomonadati; Pseudomonadota; Gammaproteobacteria; Pseudomonadales; Pseudomonadaceae.
GUCUCAGUAGCUCAAUUGGAUAGAGCAUCCCCCUCCUAAGGGGAAGGUUGCAGGUUCAAAUCCUGCCUGGGACACCA